Molecule: transfer RNA, 66 nt
Filed under: Pseudomys chapmani (western pebble-mound mouse)
Lineage: Eukaryota; Metazoa; Chordata; Mammalia; Rodentia; Muridae
Description: tRNA-Pro
Source: RNAcentral
UCAAGAAGAAGGACUUAUCCCUACCAUCAACACCCAAAGCUGAAAUUCUAAUUAAACUACUUCUUG